This 921-nucleotide long non-coding RNA is filed under the name Pan troglodytes (chimpanzee). RNAcentral's name for it is "lncRNA (ENSPTRG00000053006.1)". Lineage: Eukaryota; Metazoa; Chordata; Mammalia; Primates; Hominidae. The record is from RNAcentral.
GUAGGAUCAAAGAAUAGAAGGGGAAAAAAUGAGGAGUGGAAAAGCUCGAUUUAACCUUUAAGUACAGAUAACUAUCAGGGUACGAAAAGGCAAGAAAACAUGACAAAAUGAAAGGAUUAUUGAUGGGCAAUAAAGGAAGCGUAGUAGGUUUACCUUGAGAUUUCACUGAGCUAAUAUACUGGCUCCCAUUUCUAUGUUUAUUGUAGGAAAAAGAGAAAAACACUAAUCCAGGGAUAGAGCUGACUAGGGAUGCCCAAGUCAAAAAGACUUUGUAGCACUGGGCUUGGCAGAGGGUCCUGAAGCUAAAUGCAGAAGACUGCGGGAAAUGUCUUCAACUGGGGCUAAAGGUCGUAAGCAAGGACAAUGAACCUGGAAUUUGGAGGAAUUCAUACUCCAGUGAAGAAUUUCCAGACCCCUCAUGAGAAUAGCAGAUUGCCUACUCACCAGAGAAUACUCAAGCUGAUACUAAGCAGCCCCUGGAGAGUAAGCAAAUGAUUAGAAGGGUAGAUUUCAGGCAAGCAAAAGGGUGAGAGCCCAGAAUCUCCAUGUGAAUGACCCUAAAAUUACAGCUAAUAUAGGAAGUGGCUUCCUUGUACCUCUAGAAAUUGAACUCUCAGAACCUGACUGACAGUCUGCUCUUAAGAACAUUACCUCAAUCUGGAGAGAAAUGUGUGUUUCUUCUCCUAUAUGGAUUUCAGACAGAAGCAGAAGGAGGCUUAGAGGUUCUUCGUCACAAGUUGCCAAAAUGAAACAGAACUGUGAAAAGAAAAUGGAGAUGCUUCUUCAGGAGGUGCCCGUGAUGUGAUUUACUUGAUGAUUAUGGCCUGCAGGGUAUUGAGAUGGGAUUGUGUAACUUAAAUAAACUGGAUAUGAGUAGAGAUCUGAAAGGUUUUUCAAAAACAUUCAGCUUUACUUUUUUUU